CCUACGGGAGGCUGCAGUGAGGAAUCUUGGUCAAUGGACGAGAGUCUGAACGAGCCAAGUAGCGUGAAGGAUGACUGCCCUAUGGGUUGUAAACUUCUUUUAUAUGGGAAUAAAAUGUUCCACGUGUGGGAUUUUGUAUGUACCAUAUGAAUAAGGAUCGUCUAACUCCGUGCCAGCAGCCGCGGUAAUACGGAGGAUCCGAGCGUUAUCCGGAUUUAUUGGGUUUAAAGGGAGCGUAGGUGGAUUGUUAAGUCAGUUGUGAAAGUUUGCGGCUCAACCGUAAAAUUGCAGUUGAAACUGGCAGUCUUGAGUACAGUAGAGGUGGGCGGAAGUCGUGGUGUAGCGGUGAAAUGCUUAGAUAUCAGGAAGAACUCCGAUUGCGAAGGCAGCUCACUGGACUGCAACUGACACUGAGGCUCGAAAGUGUGGGUAGCAAACAGGAUUAGAUACCCGUGUAGUC
This 460-nucleotide ribosomal RNA is filed under the name uncultured bacterium. RNAcentral describes it as "partial 16S ribosomal RNA". It matches the Rfam family "Bacterial small subunit ribosomal RNA", at positions 338 to 795 of the family's 1533-position model. The record is from RNAcentral.